RNAcentral lists this ribosomal RNA (865 nucleotides) under uncultured bacterium. Its description in RNAcentral is "bacterial SSU rRNA". It matches the Rfam family "Bacterial small subunit ribosomal RNA", at positions 28 to 904 of the family's 1533-position model. The record is from RNAcentral.
GACGAACGCUGACGGCGUGCUUAACACAUGCAAGUCGAACGGAAAGGCCCCAGCUUGCUGGGGUACUCGAGUGGCGAACGGGUGAGUAACACGUGAGUGAUCUGCCCUGUACUUCGGGAUAAGCUUGGGAAACUGGGUCUAAUACCGGAUAGGACCAUCCUUUAGUGUGUGGUGGUGGAAAGAUUUUUUGGUACAGGAUGAGCUCGCGGCCUAUCAGCUUGUUGGUGGGGUAAUGGCCUACCAAGGCGUCGACGGGUAGCCGGCCUGAGAGGGUGGACGGCCACAUUGGGACUGAGAUACGGCCCAGACUCCUACGGGAGGCAGCAGUGGGGAAUAUUGCACAAUGGGCGGAAGCCUGAUGCAGCGACGCCGCGUGAGGGAUGACGGCCUUCGGGUUGUAAACCUCUUUCGACAGGGACGAAGCUUUUGUGACGGUACCUGUAUAAGAAGCACCGGCUAACUACGUGCCAGCAGCCGCGGUAAUACGUAGGGUGCGAGCGUUGUCCGGAAUUACUGGGCGUAAAGAGCUCGUAGGUGGUUUGUCGCGUCGUCUGUGAAAUUCCGGGGCUUAACUCCGGGCGUGCAGGCGAUACGGGCAUAACUUGAGUGCUGUAGGGGAGACUGGAAUUCCUGGUGUAGCGGUGAAAUGCGCAGAUAUCAGGAGGAACACCGAUGGCGAAGGCAGGUCUCUGGGCAGUUACUGACGCUGAGGAGCGAAAGCAUGGGUAGCGAACAGGAUUAGAUACCCUGGUAGUCCAUGCCGUAAACGGUGGGCGCUAGGUGUGGGCUGCUUCCACGUGGUCCGUGCCGUAGCUAACGCAUUAAGCGCCCCGCCUGGGGAGUACGGCCGCAAGGCUAAACUCAA